This 138-nucleotide small nucleolar RNA is filed under the name Ornithorhynchus anatinus (platypus). The record is from RNAcentral. Lineage: Eukaryota; Metazoa; Chordata; Mammalia; Monotremata; Ornithorhynchidae.
CACCUCUCAGGGUUGCACCUGGAGAGUUUCCAGUACCCUACCAGUCUCGGCUACAUGAGGGAGAGUCAAGCAGAGGCAUACCCACUCCAUUCCUAGCUUGACCAGUGGCUAGUGAGUGGAAGGCAAUCUGUUAUUUCA